ACGGUCCUAAGGUAGCGAAAUUCCUUGUCGGGUAAGUUCCGACCCGCACGAAUGGCGUAACGAUUUCUCCACUGUCUCCAACAUCACUUCAGCGAAAUUGAAUUCCCCGUGCAGAUGCGGGGUACCCGCGGUUAGACGAAGAGACCCCGUGCACCUUUACUAUAGCUUUACAUUGCUAUUAAAAGUGUGAUGUGCAGGAUAGGUGGGAGACUUUGAAGUUAUGGCGCUAGCUAUAAUGGAGUCAACCUUGAGAUACCACCCUUUACACUUUUGAUAUCUAACUAUGUUUCAUUAUCUGGAACUAGGACAUUGUAUGGUGGGUAGUUUGACUGGGGCGGUCGCCUCCUAAAAAGUAACGGAGGCGUGCGAAGGUAAGCUAGAGCUGGUCGGAAAUCAGCUUGAUAGUAUAAUGGCAUAAGCUUGCCUGACUGCGAGGCUGACAAGCCAAGCAGAGACGAAAGUCGGUCAUAGUGAUCCGGUGAUUCUGUAUGGAAGGGUCAUCGCUCAACGGAUAAAAGGUACGCCGGGGAUAACAGGCUGAUGGUGUUCGAGCGUUCAUAGCGACGACACCGUUUGGCACCUCGAUGUCGACUCAUCACAUCCUGGGGCUGAAGAAGGUCCCAAGGGUUCGGCUGUUCGCCGAUUAAAGUGAUACGUGAGUUGGGUUUAGAACGUCGUGAGACAGUUCGGUUUCUAUCUGCCGUGGGUGAAGGAAAUUUGAGAAGGUCUGACUCUAGUACGAGAGGACCGAGAUGGAUAUACCUCUGGUGUACCAGCUGUUAUGCCAAUAGCAUCGCUGGGUGGCUAUGUAUAGAUGGGAUAAUUGCUGAAAGCAUAUAAGCAAGAAACCCUCUUCAAAAAGAUUUCCCAAUUAAGGCCGUGGAAGACUACCACGUUGAUAGGCUAGGUGUGGAAGCAUGGUAACAUGUGAAGCUAACUAGUACUAAUAGCCUGAUUGAUUUAUUUGCUUUC
RNAcentral lists this ribosomal RNA (972 nucleotides) under Wolbachia sp. wRi_2. Its description in RNAcentral is "bacterial LSU rRNA". It matches the Rfam family "Bacterial large subunit ribosomal RNA", at positions 1945 to 2925 of the family's 2925-position model. The record is from RNAcentral. Lineage: Bacteria; Pseudomonadati; Pseudomonadota; Alphaproteobacteria; Rickettsiales; Anaplasmataceae.